GUAUUGGGGAGGCAGGCUUGGGGCGAUGGCAAUGCAACGUAGCAGCUGGGCACAUUCCUCAGGAUUCACCACCUCUGUUGAAACCGAUGAGAACGGCUGAGAGUUUGGACCAUCUGAGCAUAUAUUGCAGUGGGGAUGACAGGCUGGGGAAGAUCCUGCAGGUACCUGCGCAGACCAUCACACAGGACGGAAAGUUCCACCUGAUCCAGGUCUGGUGAGGGAGGAUCUGAAGUGCAAUACAACACAGAGACGAGACACACUCUUAAAAACUAAACUGCUUUGUGCACAGUGAAAUAUUUAAUUACAUGCUUGUGUUCAAUCUGCAAAACUAUCUGAUGCAUACGUAGAUGCAACCAUGGCUGAUGCAAUAAAGCCUUCAGAAACCA
Long non-coding RNA from Perca fluviatilis (European perch), 386 nucleotides. RefSeq lists it as uncharacterized. NCBI's taxonomy places the organism in Eukaryota, Metazoa, Chordata, Actinopteri, Perciformes, Percidae. The transcript has 2 exons. The record is from RefSeq and is a predicted model, not a curated record.